RNA transcript from Juglans regia (Persian walnut), 3632 nucleotides. It is a transcript of the gene named cyclin-T1-5-like, with no coding region annotated. The transcript has 7 exons. Lineage: Eukaryota; Viridiplantae; Streptophyta; Magnoliopsida; Fagales; Juglandaceae. The record is from RefSeq and is a predicted model, not a curated record.
AUUUUUUGAGAAUUAUAAAAAGGAGAGAUUUUUUAAAAGGAAAACUCGUCUAUUUUUAUCUGUUCUGAAAUUUCAACGGAUUAUCUUAGAACCUAUAAAUUUCACACCAUUUUCAUCUGUAUCACUUUCCUGUAAAAGUUACACUAUUUAUUAUAUCCACGCAUCGGUUUUCUCCUCAUCUGGAUCCCUAUUAUUUUCAACCAAACCCUAAUCUCAACGAGAUUUUGAUCUUGAUCUCGCCCCUAACCUGAUCUAAAAUCAAGCAACUUUCAGAUCAAUUUUCCUGCUAGCCAGGAACAGAAAUGUCUUUUCCGCGUAAUUUCACCUCACAGGUAGGCACUACCAAUGAUGACUAUCGGUCCUCCUUCCGUAGGAACAACUUCGGCAACAACAACAGGAACAGAACCAGGAACUAUUAUAACAACAGAAAUUAUAGCAAUAUCAGUGACUUCUCUGGGAAAAUUUGGCAGCAUAAUGACAAUCUCAGCCAUGCUAAGCCUGAUCAUUUCAGUCAUGCUAAUCCUGAUGAUUUAGGAUUGCCAUAUUUGAAAAGGAGAAAACUCUCAUCUUGUGCUUGGGGAGGCAGUGGGAGACAGUACGUGCCACCUGGGGCAUAUAACUUGGCCCCUCCAACCUGCAAUUAUGCAGUCUCUCGGACAAGAUCCCAUGCAGAGGCCUCUAUGUCCAGUAGCUGUAAACGUGACUGCUCACAAUUGGAAGAUGAUGAACCGGUCUUCAUGUCUAGGGAUGAGAUUGAGAGGUACUCCCCAUCAAGAAAAGAUGGUAUUGAUGCUCUUCGUGAAGCUCAUUUGCGGUACUCAUACUGCACUUUCCUUCAUAAUCUUGGACUGCGACUCGAGCUGCCCCAAACCACUAUUGGUACUGCUACGGUUCUGUGCCACCGGUUUUUUGUUCGACAAUCACAUGCUUCUUAUGAUAGAUUUUUGAUUGCUACUGCUGCUCUUUUUCUUGCUGCAAAGUCUGAGGAGACUCCGUGCCCUUUGAACAAUGUGCUGAGAGUAUCUUGUGAAAUUACCCAUAAGCAGGAUUUUUCUUUCUUGUCCUAUCUGCUUCCUGCUGACUGGUUUGAGCUGUAUCGGGAACGAGUGAUUGAGGCUGAGAAUAUGAUACUGACUACUCUAAAUUUUGAGCUAAAUGUGCAACAUCCAUACGCUCCACUUACAUCCGUUCUUAACAAACUAGGUCUUUCGCAAACUGUUUUGGUCAAUCUGGCAUUAAACUUGGUCAGUGAAGGGGUUGGCUCAAGUGGUGAAGGCCUUGGUCUUGGUGGUAUGCUCCCUUCAGGUCUAAGGUUUAAAUCCUAUUGGGUGCAAACGAUUUUUAGGGGACAUCGGACUGGGGGAACUUCCCCUUGAAUUAUCCAAUGUGCACUUGCGGGAAACUCCUUGCCGAGGGUCUAUGCACCUCCGGGAUUAGUCGGGACUUUGUUCUUGGACACCGAGUGCCAAUAAAAGAAAAAAAAUAUAAUUGACACUGUUAUUAUUGUUGUUAUUGUUGCUAUUUUAUGCUAUUACUAUUGUUAUUAAUAUUAUAAUUAUGACUAUUAGUACAUAAUAAUUAAGGAAAAUUACACUGUCCAUGCUGCGACUAACAUACAUUUUACAAUGUGCAUCCAAAAGUGUCAAAAUAGAUACAUUAACUACCAAAAAGUUAGAAUGUGCAUCCUUGAUUUCUCUCUGACCGUAAGAUUGAUUCUCGUAACUUAUAUUUCAUCACUUUUAAUGGUUGGACAAGGAUGCUAUUUGACAGAAAGUGGUAGUUGAAGGUGCAGUUUGCCAAUUUUCACAGUUUAGGGUGCACGCUACAAAGGUGUAUUGGUUUUAGAGGGUGGAAAGUGAUUUUUACUACUGCUACCACUGAAAUUAUUUAAUGGUACAUUACUAUCACAAUGUCACCUCCUCUUCUCCUUUCUUAAAAUUUUCAUAUCUGUGAAGGCUUACAAUUUGAAGGAGUUGAAUGUCCCGAUAUUUAAUCAUCCAUACGUUUUUCAAACUGAGACACAAUAUUUUUAGGCUUGACUAUAAUAUGUCAAGGGAUUCUCAUUCCGAUGUUGGGGUGUUUAUCAUCUCUUAAAAAACCAUUUAAGUUGUUUAGUCAGUGUUGUAACUUCAAAAUGUUUUCCAAUUUUCCCUCAACACCCCCCUGGGUGGCCCACCCAGGAACUGAAAAGGGAAAUGAAAUCACUGUAGAACUUCUUUUAAUUUUGUCCCUGGUCACAUGAAGUUGCAUUUCAAAAUGUUGAUCAAUUUUUACUCAAUUUCCCACUCCUUUUGUCUGUCCAAACUCUUCUAUCGAUUUCAUUUUAUGCACGUGUAUUAUCUGUUGAUUCUGUUGGGUCUUUACCAAUGCAGUUUAGUUUUUGCAUUGACAUUCAAAAAAAAAAAAAAAAAGAGAGACUUGUGAAGAAACCUCUCUACUUUUCAAGUUGGUGUUAAGAUUUUUAGAGAAGAUCCACUCCCACAUAGUCUUCCGGAAGGUAACUUUUGUACAUGCCUUUUUUCACCUUGUCUCUCUCCACAUGCAACAAAAGCCCUUGUAACUGUCUACAAAAUCAACUAUAAUUGAAAACCAUGGUUCUCAAUUAUGUUGAUCAAUUUUCCCUAAAAGAAUUCCCCCCCGCUCCAAUCAGGAGCCGAAAAAGAAAAGAAAUCAUCUAAGAACAUUUUUUAAUUUUCUCCCUGGUCACAUGUAUGUUGUGUUUCAAAAUGUGGAUCAAUUUUGUCCUCAAUUUCCCCUUGUUUCAGUCUGUCCAAAUUCUUCUACCGAUUUCAUCAUGUAUACACAUGCAUUAUCUGUUGAUUCUGUGGGGUCUUUACCAUUGCAGCUUAUUUUUUGGGUUGAAGAGUUAAUAUGAAGAAACCUUACUACUUUUAAGUUGGUAUCUAAACUUUUAGAGAAGACUCCCUCACACAGUCUUCCUGAAGGUAACUCUUGCACAUGCCUUUUCUCUAUCCUUAUCUCUCCUCACAUGUUACAAACACCCUUGUCUACAAAAGCAACUACAGUUGCUGUUGCAUGUACCGCAGCAAUCUUUUGUUCUUUUUCUAAAAGGUCAUCAACAGGCCUUGCUAUACAUCUAUUAUUUUUACAGAUUGCUUCAACAUAUUUGUUUGUUAAAUAAAAAAGAUACAUAGAACUUGUGCCUAAUGUUUUAAUCAAUUUGAUAUAAAUGAUGCUUCUUUUGUUAUAUUAUGCCUGCAAUACUCCCUCCAAUAGAAGAUUUUGGGUGGUAUUCUAUAGUUGUUGUUAAAUGUAUGCUCUAUUAGCAUGAAAGCAUGCGUGUCAACCAGCCUGUCCAGAAGCGGAGGAUGUUGGUAUUUGCUUUCUUGUUUGAAUUGCAUGUCUCUGGAAUUAAAAGCCCGCAGCAGAAUUGUUCCUGGGAGUUUGUUGUGUUCACUAGAUGAGUACAACUUGUAUGUUAUAGUUUUGGUACUCUAUCAGCAGUCCUGCAGAGAUUCUUGGAUACUAUUCUACCUGCGUUGCUGCAUUUUUAGUUGGCUUCGAAGCUCGCUGUGGCUUCAAUUCAAACCUCAUCAUAUUGCUGCUGGAGCUGUCUACCUUGCUGCUAAGUUUCUGAAUUUAGAUCUUACUUCUUAUCAAAAUAUCUGGCU